RNAcentral lists this unclassified non-coding RNA (336 nucleotides) under plant metagenome. RNAcentral describes it as "partial contains 5.8S ribosomal RNA, internal transcribed spacer 2, and large subunit ribosomal RNA". The stretch from base 1 to 104 matches the Rfam family "5.8S ribosomal RNA", at positions 51 to 154 of the family's 154-position model. The record is from RNAcentral.
AAGUGCGAUAAGUAAUGUGACUUGCAGAAUACCGUGAAUCAUCGAAUCUUUGAACGCAUAUUGCACUCUCAGGUAUUCCGGAGAGUAUGCCUGUUUGAGGGUCAGCUAAAAAAAAUCAAGCGUUAUUGCUUUUUUGUGAUGACGUUUGGAAUUGAGUCGUCUUAACCUCACGGUCAAGUGACUUAAAAUUUUUUAAUGUGAUUUUCGAAACGUAUUUAAUAUUUUACGUACGUUUGCGAUAUCAAUCUAUUAGAUGUGGUCAUUUUCCAUGAUUCGCGUCUAUAGUUUUUCAUUAAAUGACCUCAAAUCAGGUAAGAGUACCCGCUGAACUUAAGC